UAUAAAAUCCAUCAUCCGCCGCUACGAAAACCUAAUAGUACUAGAUACAUGUCAAAAGAGAAUCUAGAGCGCCUCCCAAAAUGCAGUGAAGAUUUAGGGUUGAUUCUCGCCGCCGCCGCCUUGGUUGGGGAUUUACGAGGCAGCAGAAUUGGUGGCCAUGGAACUGUGUGAGUCUAAUGAAGUUCAUAUCAAUUGAUAUUGUUUGCAAGGAGGAAUUUAGGAUUAAAUUCUCUCCUAAUUUAAUUAUUUAAUAUUGAUCAGUGGGAAUAUUAAGAACGUAUCUCGCACAUAUAUUAAUAAUGAUCAAAGACAAUUUUUUAUAUAUAUUAGUAAUGACUAAGAGGAACAUUAUCAAUUUAUAUAAUUUGAGAAUAGUUAGAUUUUAAGAUGAUUUGGGUGUUGUAGUUUGAUUGAGAAGAUAUAUAUUAGAUUUGGAGAUAUUAAGAUGGCUUGGAUGUUGUAAUUUGAUGAAGAAGUGAUAUAUAUAAAGAGAAGUUGAUAGAUUGAAACUUUUGUAUAGUUUUUUUAAAUCUUGUUGCUAAACAAUUCUAUGUAGAUAGUUAUUUUGUUAGAUGGUAAUUGUAUGUAGCUUGGAUAUUCUUAUAGUUAAUUACUUAUAAUCUUGUAUUUUGUUGGAUGGUAAU
Molecule: long non-coding RNA, 644 nt
Organism: Salvia miltiorrhiza (redroot sage)
Lineage: Eukaryota; Viridiplantae; Streptophyta; Magnoliopsida; Lamiales; Lamiaceae
Exons: 2
Source: RefSeq, a predicted model, not a curated record